This 498-nucleotide ribosomal RNA is filed under the name uncultured bacterium. RNAcentral's name for it is "partial 16S ribosomal RNA". It matches the Rfam family "Bacterial small subunit ribosomal RNA", at positions 29 to 507 of the family's 1533-position model. The record is from RNAcentral.
AGCGAACGCUGGCGGCGUGCCUAACACAUGCAAGUCGAACGUGAAAAGGGAAACCUGCGUCCAGUGGCGUACGGGUGAGUAACGCGUAGGUAAUCUACCCCAGAAUCUGGAAUAACCUGCCGAAAGGCGGGCUAAUACUGGAUAGAGCGAGGGAACUCGUAAGAGAGUUUUUCGGGAAAGGGAGCCCGCAAGGGCCUUCGUUCUGGGAUGAGCCUGCGUCUCAUUAGCUAGUUGGUAAGGUAACGGCUUACCAAGGCGAUGAUGAGUAGCUGGUCUGAGAGGAUGAUCAGCCACACUGGAACUGAAACACGGUCCAGACUCCUACGGGAGGCAGCAGUGGGGAAUCUUGCGCAAUGGACGAAAGUCUGACGCAGCCACGCCGCGUGAGUGAAGAAGGCCUUCGGGUUGUAAAGCUCUGUCGGAUGGGACGAACAUCUUCAUAGUGAAUAGCUAUGAGGACUGACGGUACCAUCAAAGGAAGCACCGGCUAACUCCGUG